AGCUUUGCACAAUGGCAGUAUCAUAGCCAAUGAGGUUUAACCAAGGCGCGAUUAUUGCUAAUUGAAAACUUUUCCCAAUACACUGCCAUGACAACUUGAAAUAUAGUUGGCAUUGGCAAUUUUUGACAGUCUCUACGGAGA
Molecule: small nuclear RNA, 141 nt
Organism: Callithrix jacchus (white-tufted-ear marmoset)
Lineage: Eukaryota; Metazoa; Chordata; Mammalia; Primates; Cebidae
Gene: U4
Rfam family: U4 spliceosomal RNA
About the family: U4 small nuclear RNA (U4 snRNA) is a component of the major U2-dependent spliceosome. The structure of U4 snRNA from yeast and human has been reported.
Source: Ensembl